AGAGUUUGAUCCUGGCUCAGGAUGAACGCUGGCGGCGUGCUUAACACAUGCAAGUCGAACGGGAAUGCCGCGCUGAUGCGAUUUCGGUCAAAUCAUGUGGCAUUCGAGUGGCGGACGGGUGAGUAACGCGUGGGUAACCUGCCUUACACAGGGGGAUAACACCUGGAAACAGGUGCUAAUACCGCAUAAGCGCACAGGGCCGCAUGGCCCGGUGUGAAAAACUCCGGUGGUGUAAGAUGGACCCGCGUCUGAUUAGCUUGUUGGCGGGGUAGGGGCCCACCAAGGCGACGAUCAGUAGCCGGCCUGAGAGGGUGGACGGCCACAUUGGGACUGAGACACGGCCCAAACUCCUACGGGAGGCAGCAGUGGGGGAUAUUGGACAAUGGGGGAAACCCUGAUCCAGCGACGCCGCGUGAGUGAAGAAGUAUUUCGGUAUGUAAAGCUCUGUCAGCAGGGAAGAAAGAAAUGACGGUACCUGACCAAGAAGCCCCGGCUAACUACGUGCCAGCAGCCGCGGUAAUACGUAGGGGGCAAGCGUUAUCCGGAAUUACUGGGUGUAAAGGGAGCGUAGACGGUGAUGCAAGUCUGGAGUGAAAGGCGGGGGCCCAACCCCCGGACUGCUCUGGAAACUGUGUAACUUGAGUGCAGGAGAGGUAAGCGGAAUUCCUAGUGUAGCGGUGAAAUGCGUAGAUAUUAGGAGGAACACCAGUGGCGAAGGCGGCUUACUGGACUGUAACUGACGUUGAGGCUCGAAAGCGUGGGGAGCAAACAGAAUUAGAUACCCUGGUAGUCCACGCCGUAAACGAUGAUUACUAGGGUGUCGGUGGG
RNAcentral lists this ribosomal RNA (828 nucleotides) under uncultured bacterium. Its description in RNAcentral is "bacterial SSU rRNA". It matches the Rfam family "Bacterial small subunit ribosomal RNA", at positions 8 to 831 of the family's 1533-position model. The record is from RNAcentral.